GGGGAUUUAGCUCAGCAGCAUAAGCGCCUGCCUCGCAAGCAGAAGGUCGUGAGUUCAAUCCCCG
Molecule: transfer RNA, 64 nt
Filed under: Cavia porcellus (domestic guinea pig)
Lineage: Eukaryota; Metazoa; Chordata; Mammalia; Rodentia; Caviidae
Rfam family: tRNA
About the family: Transfer RNA (tRNA) molecules are approximately 80 nucleotides in length.
Source: Rfam by way of RNAcentral